Molecule: ribosomal RNA, 302 nt
Filed under: uncultured bacterium
Lineage: Bacteria
Description: bacterial SSU rRNA
Rfam family: Bacterial small subunit ribosomal RNA
Source: RNAcentral
GAUGAACGCUAGCGGGAGGCCUAAUACAUGCAAGUCGAGCGGUAGAGUGACUUCGGUUGCUUGAGAGCGGCGAACGGGUGAGUAACGCGUACACAAUCUACCUUUAAGAGGGGAAUAGCCCUGGGAAACUGGGAUUAAUGCCCCAUGGCAUCACGAGACGGCAUCGUUUUGUUGGAUUAAAGCUGAGGUGCUUAGAGAUGAGUGUGCGUCUGAUUAGCUAGUUGGUGCGGUAACGGCGCACCAAGGCGACGAUCAGUAGGGGGCGUGAGAGCGUGGACCCCCACACGGGUACUGAGACACGG